AUUAUUGAAUAGGCCAACUCAAAAGUACCUUCGGAAUAUUUUAGACAAUCGCACUAAAAUGAAUAUGUUCUAAUCUGAUCUCAAAUAGCAAAUCACAAAUUUGUAGGAGUCAACAACUUUCACAUUAGCAAUGUGUGUAUACAUUAAUGCUUGUUUAAGCUACAAACGUAAAUAAGACGUCUCAUAAUCCCUAUAAUAUGUUACAUCGUAAAAGAAAGAAUUGUUCAACGGGCUAUAAGUUAUCACAAUUAGAUUUAAUGAAAAGAGACAACAUCUACAAGUGCACUAGAUUCUGUUACUUGGAAUAUAGCAUUUAGGAGAACGUUUUUCGCGUCAAAAAUUGAAACCAGAUGUCUAAUAUACAGCUUUUAAAUAGUGAAACAGCUGAAUUGCACGUUCUGCUAUAUUUAUUCUUCAGGUCAAUUAAGGUUGUUCAGGUCAUUCAGGUUUUUCCAAGAUCAGAUUUUCAGGUUUUCAGGUCAAUCAGGUCAGGUCAAAAUUUAACAAAUCAGGUUUCAGGUCAAAUCAGGUUCAGGUGACCUGACUCAGGUUUCAGGUCGACCUGACCUGAUUCCGAGCCUUAGUCGUAGGAAUUUAAUUUCUUC
Bradysia coprophila is the source of this 605-nucleotide long non-coding RNA. Lineage: Eukaryota; Metazoa; Arthropoda; Insecta; Diptera; Sciaridae. The record is from RefSeq and is a predicted model, not a curated record.